GGGUUUUCUUACCACAAUAAUUUAUUAAGGUCAUGAAAGCCGAUAUCAUUGUCUAGUUCAUAGCCUUAGGGGAAAAGCUUUGAGUUUUUCAGCAUUGAGUAUGGUGUUAGCUGUGGGUUUCUCAUCUAUGUCUUAUGUUAAGGGAGUUUUCGGCCAUUCCUUGUUUUUAUCAAAAAUGAGUUGAAUUUUGUCAAAGCUUUUUCUCUACCAUGUGCUUUUCUCUCCUUCAUUCUAUUAAUGUGGUGUAUUACUUUGACUGAUUUUCCUAUGUUGAACGAUCCUUCCACUCUGAGAAAAAAUUCCAUGUGCUCCUGGUAUAUAAUCCAUUCAUUAUGGUAUAAGGUUUGCUAGUAUUUCGUUGAUUUUUGCAUUAAUAUUGAUAAAGGAUACUGUAGUUUUAUGUUCUUGUAGAGUCUUUGUCUCUUUUGGCAUCAGGGUAAGGAGGGCCUUAUAUAAUGAGUUAGGAAGUGUUUUCUCCUCUUUGAUUUUUUUUCCUUUUUUAAAAAAAACUAGAGAUGGGUUUUGCCGUGUUGCCCAGGCUGGUCUCCAACUCCUGGGCUCAAGCGAUCUGCCCGCCUCAGCCUCCCAAAAUGCUGGGAUUACAGGCGCCAGCCACCAUGCCUGGCUUAAUUUUUGUAUUUUUAGAAGGGUCGGGGUUUCACCAUGUUCACCAGGCUGGUCUCAAACACCUGACCUCAGGUGAUCCACCUGCCUCAGCCUCCCGAAGUGCUGGGAUAAGAGCCAGGAGCCACCACGCCCAGCCAGUAUUGUUCUAGCAGCCUGCACUGACUCUGGCCGACUCUUGCAGAAGACACUGGUUAGAGAGGACAGUCAGGAGGGGCAACAUCAGGCUUCAAGCUGUGUGAAAGGGGAAGUUUUGCUCAGCAGCAAGUUCUCUCUGGAUUAAGAGUUUUGUGAUUGGCAGCCACAGUGAACUAGAGAGACGCGUCUGCCAGGGAGAGCCUGCACCUCCCACAAGGUGGCCUCAGGAAAGGAGUCUGUAUUCUGCAAUCACUGACUUGCUGCUGAAAAAUCCAGAUGAAAAGAAAGGCGGGGCUUUCCUGCUGGCUUCAGUCUGGAGAUCUGACUCCAGCUUCCUGCUGGCCACCAGGCAGGGGUGGUGGAAGGAGCGGUUUUUGCAGGUAAAGAACCGUGGCCUCAUCGUACAGUCCCUGGAGCAGCCAUGUCCCUCUAGGCAGACGACUUCGAUCAUAAACUACCAAGAUACCUGGAGCGAUCAGAUGAGCCUCGGCCUACUCUUGAAGCUAAAGGAAGGCUGCUAGCAAGACUGGCAUCUGGGCUUGGCUGUGCGUGUUUUCCAUUGUGGGAAAAUAUACAUAACACAAUAUUUGUAAUUUGAACCUUUUAACCAAAGUGUGCACGCAGUGGCAUUGAAUAUAUUCACUUACACUUAAGGCACAAUGACAAGGCAGCAAAGGGCUGUUGGGUGAUUAGUUCACCACACUUGUUGCAACUGUUUGUACUGCAGAGUUAAAACAUACCAGCAUUCAACCCAUGUCUCCUCUCUUGAAAUAAACUGUCCCCUUUGCAAGGGACCUAAAUCUCCAUUUACAGAAC
This 1578-nucleotide long non-coding RNA is filed under the name Homo sapiens (human). RNAcentral's name for it is "HSALNT0276061". Lineage: Eukaryota; Metazoa; Chordata; Mammalia; Primates; Hominidae. The record is from RNAcentral.